GAUUGACAGGUCCUAUGGAGAGGCAGCAGAGACGCUGCUCUCCUCGUUUGAAUUAAUUCUGAUAUGAUAACUGUUGGUUUAUUUAUCGGUGCAGCAGCAGAACAUUUUCCACAGACAGUUUUCCUGCCCGUUGGCUUGUUUUAACCAGUUUUCUAUCUUCGGCUGAUUCUACCAGCAGACACUGAAAGGACUCUGAUAGUUCGAGUGAAAGUAGCAGUUCCUCCUGAAGGUCAGAGAUUGCAGCAUCUGAGGGCCUCUUCAAAAGAAGACGUAGUUGAUGAAGGCGUUCUGGAGCAGGACCAGAAAGACCACGACCAAGCAGCCUUGAGAUCUUAGGCAGUGUCUCCCUCAGGUCCCUCUCUAUCUCCCCACACAGCCACCAACCACUGGAACACAUCUCCAAAGUUCUGCCAGGCCAGCUCAGCUUCCCCUCAGAAGAAGUGGCGCCACCUGCCAGAUGAAGGAGCCUUUUGAGAGGCAGCUGGCAUCGUGAUUGGACUGUACUUUGGUCUGUUCCAAUCCAGCUUCAGCUCCAGAGACGGCAGGCGGGACGAGUCAACGGAGGCCGGGUGGAUGAAGGCAUGCAGCUGAGUACAAUCCAGAAAACAACAGAGGAGGAGUGCAGCAGCCCAGAGCCAGAACAGAGUAGCAUCGUAUGUCUCUUAGAAAACAUCAUAGUAUAGCCUUUGGGAUGAAAAAACGCCAUCAUAUACAUCGUAUAUUGUACAAAUAACAAG
Long non-coding RNA from Amphiprion ocellaris (clown anemonefish), 737 nucleotides. RefSeq lists it as uncharacterized. The record is from RefSeq and is a predicted model, not a curated record. The transcript has 3 exons. Lineage: Eukaryota; Metazoa; Chordata; Actinopteri; Pomacentridae.